GACGAACGCUGGCGGCGCGCCUAACACAUGCAAGUCGAACGAGCGAGAGAGAGCUUGCUUUCUCGAGCGAGUGGCGAACGGGUGAGUAACGCGUGAGGAACCUGCCUCAAAGAGGGGGACAACAGUUAGAAACGACUGCUAAUACCGCAUAAGCCCACGACCCGGCAUCGGGUAGAGGGAAAAGGAGCAAUCCGCUUUGAGAUGGCCUCGCGUCCGAUUAGCUAGUUGGUGAGGUAACGGCCCACCAAGGCGACGAUCGGUAGCCGGACUGAGAGGUUGAACGGCCACAUUGGGACUGAGACCCGGCCCAGACUCCUACGGGAGGCAGCAGUGGGGAAUAUUGCACAAUGGGGGAAACCCUGAUGCAGCGACGCCGCGUGGAGGAAGAAGGUCUUCGGAUUGUAAACUCCUGUUGUUGAGGAAGAUAAUGACGGUACUCAACAAGGAAGUGACGGCUAACUACGUG
RNAcentral lists this ribosomal RNA (466 nucleotides) under uncultured bacterium. Its description in RNAcentral is "partial 16S ribosomal RNA". It matches the Rfam family "Bacterial small subunit ribosomal RNA", at positions 28 to 507 of the family's 1533-position model. The record is from RNAcentral.